CCUACGGGAGGCAGCAGUGGGGAAUAUUGCACAAUGGGCGAAACCCUGAUGCAGCAACGCCGCGUGAGCGAUGAAGUAUUUCGGGAUGUAAAGCUCUAUCAGCAGGGAAGAAAAUGACGGUACCUGACUAAGAAGCCCCGGCUAACUACGUGCCAGCAGCCGCGGUAAUACGUAGGGGGCAAGCGUUAUCCGGAUUUACUGGGUGUAAAGGGGGCGUAGACGGUUCUGCAAGCCAGAUGUGAAAGCCCUGGGCUCAACCCCGGGACAGCAUUUGGAACUGUAAGGCUAGAGUGUCGGAGAGGCAGGCGGAAUUCCUAGUGUAGCGGUGAAAUGCGUAGAUAUUAGGAGGAACACCAGUGGCGAAGGCGGCCUGCUGGACGAUAACUGACGUUGAGGCACGAAAGCGUGGGGAGCAAACAGGAUUAGAUACCCCGGUAGUC
RNAcentral lists this ribosomal RNA (440 nucleotides) under uncultured bacterium. Its description in RNAcentral is "partial 16S ribosomal RNA". It matches the Rfam family "Bacterial small subunit ribosomal RNA", at positions 338 to 795 of the family's 1533-position model. The record is from RNAcentral.